Molecule: long non-coding RNA, 606 nt
Organism: Sardina pilchardus (European sardine)
Lineage: Eukaryota; Metazoa; Chordata; Actinopteri; Clupeiformes; Clupeidae
Exons: 3
Source: RefSeq, a predicted model, not a curated record
GGCAUCCUGACGUCAAUUUGACAUCAACAAGUAGUCAAGAUUUUGACCAACAUGUAUGACGUGCAUAAAUAUGCAUAAUUUCAUUAUAUUUUGUAAUGAUUUCCUUGUGGUUGUAAAGAGGCCCAACAAAGGUAUCAAUCUAACAUGUUUUUUCUGGUCCCUACAUCUCAGGUCUAUAUUAUUGACAUUAAAUCAACGUUGAUUUGAUGUCAGGAAGUAAGACGUCAAAUUGAUGUGACAUUUAUGUCAAAACAACGUCUGUUAAAAUGUCUGAAAAGGUAUAUUAUUAGCCUACUCAUUGUAAAUCGACGCGAGUUUUUCAACAUCCUGACCCACACAGCAGAGGGUUCCAAAACGGACCCUCUGCGGCGGACUUCGUGCGGAUACGCACAUCGAACGCGCCCUUUCCAGUCCUAACGGCUCCUUCAGUUUUCAAAUUUCUCGUUGAUGAAGUGGAAGACGAAACAGCGGCGUCUGAAGGCUCACUGUCAUUCACAAGUGGCUCCAGUCUGGUUUGGGGGUUCUGCCAUCCAAGUAAAGUUAUUCACAAGUGGCUCCAGUCUGGUUUGGGGGUCUACGCUUUCUCAUCCUGUCCUGCCACCCAAG